This is a long non-coding RNA of Felis catus (domestic cat), 476 nucleotides long. RefSeq lists it as uncharacterized. The record is from RefSeq and is a predicted model, not a curated record. NCBI's taxonomy places the organism in Eukaryota, Metazoa, Chordata, Mammalia, Carnivora, Felidae. The transcript is spliced from 2 exons.
GCGAGAUCGUGACCUGGCUGAAGUCGGACGCUUAACCGACUGCGCCACCCAGGCGCCCCGGCCACUGAGAACUGAAAAGACCAUCUUUAUCCUGCAGGCCAUGACAGAAGAGGUGGCAGGCUGGAUUUGGCCUACAAGUCAUACUCUGCUGACCUUUGUUCCAUGAAUAGGAUGAAAAAAAAAAUAGAACUAAUGAAAUUGUUUUUCUGUGUGAAACCUGGCACUAACUGCUUGUGAAGUCCUCCCAUAGCUUUUAAAUGAGCCAACGUUUAAUGGCUGUUGUCAAGUUUUACAUGUCCGGGAGAAAAUUUAGGGGAAAAUGGACACAAUUAAUUAGAAUAUGUGUUUGAUCUAAAUGAAAAGUCAUGCCUCAGAAAGAAACAUACAUGCUGUCAUUGUGUAAAUGGAAAUUCUUCUGUAGCUGCACUCCUGAUUGGCACUCUUUUCUUAAAUAAAAAAAACAAAUAGCUUUUAAA